RNAcentral lists this ribosomal RNA (503 nucleotides) under uncultured Glomus. Its description in RNAcentral is "SSU rRNA". It matches the Rfam family "Eukaryotic small subunit ribosomal RNA", at positions 569 to 1077 of the family's 1831-position model. Lineage: Eukaryota; Fungi; Glomeromycota; Glomeromycetes; Glomerales; Glomeraceae. The record is from RNAcentral.
AGCAGCCGCGGUAAUUCCAGCUCCAAUAGCGUAUAUUAAAGUUGUUGCAGUUAAAAAGCUCGUAGUUGAAUUUCGGGAUCAGUAUGUUGGUCGUGCUUCGGUACGUACUGUCAUUACUGGUUUCUACCUUCUGAAGAACCUUGAUGUCAUUAAUUUGGUGUCUUGGGGAAUCAGGACUGUUACUUUGAAAAAUUAGAGUGUUUAAAGCAAGCAUACGCUUGAAUACAUUAGCAUGGAAUAAUGAAAUAGGACGUUUGAUUCUAUUUUGUUGGUUUCUAGGAUCGACGUAAUGAUUAAUAGGGAUAGUUGGGGGCAUUAGUAUUCAAUUGUCAGAGGUGAAAUUCUUGGAUUUAUUGAAGACUAACUACUGCGAAAGCAUUUGCCAAGGAUGUUUUCAUUAAUCAAGAACGAAAGUUAGGGGAUCGAAGACGAUCAGAUACCGUCGUAGUCUUAACCAUAAACUAUGCCGACUAGGGAUCGGAUGAUGUUAUUUUUAAUGACUC